RNAcentral lists this ribosomal RNA (275 nucleotides) under uncultured bacterium. Its description in RNAcentral is "partial 16S ribosomal RNA". It matches the Rfam family "Bacterial small subunit ribosomal RNA", at positions 338 to 626 of the family's 1533-position model. The record is from RNAcentral.
CCUACGGGAGGCUGCAGUCGAGAAUCUUCCGCAAUGGACGAAAGUCUGACGGAGCGACGCCGCGUGGUGGAUGAAGUCCCUCGGGACGUAAACACCUUUUAUGAGGGAGGAAGUUUAUUGACGUUACCUCAUGAAUAAGGGGCUCCCAACUCUGUGCCAGCAGGAGCGGUAAUACAGAGGCCCCGAGCAUUAUCCGGAUUUACUGGGCGUAAAGGGUGCGUAGGCGGUUAUAUUAGUCAGGUGUUAAAUCCUGGGGCUCAACCCCAGAAUCGCGC